GCCAGGUGUGGUAGUGUGUACCUGUAGUCCCAGCUACUUGGAGGCCGAAGUGGGAGGAUUGCUUGAGCCCAGGAGUUCGAGGCUACAGUGAGCUGUGAUGGCAUGACUGCACUCCAACCUGGGCAACAGAGUGAGACCCCAUCUCUU
This 147-nucleotide non-coding RNA is filed under the name Nomascus leucogenys (northern white-cheeked gibbon). The record is from Rfam by way of RNAcentral. Lineage: Eukaryota; Metazoa; Chordata; Mammalia; Primates; Hylobatidae.